GAAAGGUUAGUUUAAACAAAACAUUAACUUGUCAAGUUAAAAAUAUUAAUAUAGUACCUUUUA
RNAcentral lists this transfer RNA (63 nucleotides) under Macroscytus gibbulus. Its description in RNAcentral is "tRNA-Asp". The record is from RNAcentral. Lineage: Eukaryota; Metazoa; Arthropoda; Insecta; Hemiptera; Cydnidae.